AACGCACAUUGCGCCCACCGGUAUUCCGGAGGGCAUGCCUGUUCGAGCGUCACAAAAAACCCCUCGGGCUCAUUGUCCGGUGUUGGAAGCCCGCGUAAUUCUUUAGGCGGCUUCUGAAAAUUAGUGGCGUUGGCAUCCGCUAGUCUUUGCGAGGUAAAUCAAAUCCGCUCAUGACUGCUGGUGCUGACUGCCUGGUUCUUUAGUGGAAAUGACCUCGGAUCAGGUAGGGCUACCCGCUGAACUUAA
This 246-nucleotide unclassified non-coding RNA is filed under the name uncultured fungus. RNAcentral describes it as "partial contains 5.8S ribosomal RNA, internal transcribed spacer 2, and large subunit ribosomal RNA". The record is from RNAcentral. Lineage: Eukaryota; Fungi.